GUCGAGUCGGCCUGCGCGGAAGAUGUAACGGGGCUAAACCAUGCACCGAAGCUGCGGCAGCGACACUAUGUGUUGUUGGGUAGGGGAGCGUUCUGUAAGCCUGCGAAGGUGGCCUGUGAGGGUUGCUGGAGGUAUCAGAAGUGCGAAUGCUGACAUAAGUAACGAUAAAGCGGGUGAAAAGCCCGCUCGCCGGAAGACCAAGGGUUCCUGUCCAACGUUAAUC
This 223-nucleotide ribosomal RNA is filed under the name Klebsiella pneumoniae. Its description in RNAcentral is "partial 23S ribosomal RNA". It matches the Rfam family "Bacterial large subunit ribosomal RNA", at positions 1148 to 1370 of the family's 2925-position model. RNAcentral also lists the same sequence under 1 other name. Lineage: Bacteria; Pseudomonadati; Pseudomonadota; Gammaproteobacteria; Enterobacterales; Enterobacteriaceae. The record is from RNAcentral.